Xenopus laevis (African clawed frog) is the source of this 386-nucleotide long non-coding RNA. RefSeq lists it as uncharacterized. The record is from RefSeq and is a predicted model, not a curated record. The transcript is spliced from 2 exons. Lineage: Eukaryota; Metazoa; Chordata; Amphibia; Anura; Pipidae.
UUUGUUAGUAGUGAGUUAAAAGGACGUUUCUCCGGGUUCUUAGGGUGAAGCGCAAUAUUAGUGCUGGCAUCUGUGCCAGUAUGAGGAGGGAGGGGUAAUGAUGGGUGUGUGUUUCACCAAUCCCUUGGGGGCAUUACAGUUAUAAAUAGAAAGAUUGUUCUGAUGAGAGAAAGCCAGUCUUGAAAUAUUGAAGUCUCAACCCAGAGGAUUGGACAUUGUCUCCUUUUACUCCACAAGUAGCUUCAUUCAGGCUGAAAAUGUUCUUCAAAUGCGCUGUACUCCUGUGUAUUUUAAUUAUACCCUCUGUGUUUAUGGAGGCAGACACUGACAAUAGUGACCUAAUAAAAGUGAAUGCAGAAGUCGUCGAUCAGGAACCAGAGAUAGUU